This is a long non-coding RNA of Mus musculus (house mouse), 1616 nucleotides long. RefSeq annotates it as predicted gene, 31677. NCBI's taxonomy places the organism in Eukaryota, Metazoa, Chordata, Mammalia, Rodentia, Muridae. The record is from RefSeq and is a predicted model, not a curated record. The transcript is spliced from 5 exons.
GGCAUUACCCAUAAUCCACGGGGGAGGGGGAGCCACCCUCCAUGCCCUCCUUCCUUUCAGGAAUGUCUUGCAGCCAGCCAGCCCAACACCACAGUUCUGGGCAGAAGCAUGCUGAUAUUGGCACUGCCUAAACCAAACAAACAAGAUGUUUAACAGUCAAAUAAAAUGUCCUGCAGUCUCCCUAAUGAAUUUGUCAGGGACCAUCAGAUUUCACUCCCCCUCCUUUGCCUCAUUAACUCAAGUAUGAUGAGACGGAUUAUAACAAGAGAAUACAGAUCAAUCGGUCUGAAGACUUGAAGUGGCUUUUAGCCUCUAGAGUUUCUUUCUCUCUUGGUCUCCUUAAUAGAACACCGCAUCUCCUGCAGAAGGAGCUGCCACUUCGUUUUAAUACACCAUCAAGGAGCUGCUGAUGGACUUCUACACCAACAUACAUAAAAGCAGAGGUGACAGGGGCUCUUCAAUUAUAGCCUCCUCAGAUACCGUUUCCCCCUUCAAUUAUUCAACCAGGGAUAGGAGCCGCAAACAGCAGAAGCUGCCUGCUCUCAGCCAAGGCAGUGGAGAGAGGAAGAGAAGUGGAGAAACGGUGGACAAGGGUGUGAGGAAACUUGCUCAAGCUGGCAGAGGAAUUGAUCCAGCCAUACCCAGAGAAGAAUCCCUUCUAUGAAGACUCUCCUCCUCACUGCAACGCUAUCAGACUUCUACAUAAAUUGAAUCACCAUCGUGUGCAUCAUAACAAAAGGAGGAAAUGUUUUUGUGAAGCUCUGAAAACGAGGUGGUACAGAAUAGGAACAUAUGACAAUGUCUAUUCUCUUGUCCCCGAGUCAUCAAUCCCACCUGUAAAUCAAGGUUCAGCGAGUACCGAGGCUCGUGGACAGUCAUUGUCAACCCACGGCUGGAGGAGAGCUACACGUACCAGAUAGAAGCUGGAAACCAUUUGUGUCGCUUCAGGAUGUGUCGAUCCUAGAGGGUUACGCACAAAUCGUCGCCGGCGCCUCAAGUCAUCUUCCCAGUAGUCAAGGCGCCAGAACUCACGAGGACGACUACAAUGAAACAGAGACGCCACAUAUGUUAGCAAUUAUCAAACAGCGUGGAAGCACUGACUCUCUGCAUAGAGCUCUCCUUGUUUGCUCUGCCUUUCCCCCCUCUCCUUCCUCUUAAUUCUCCCUGCAUCUCACACUCUGCUUCUGCAAUCUUUAACUUAGGUAUGUCCUUGAAAAUAACAACAUCACCUUCCAGUCUAAGGAACUCCUUUCCUUUUCUUGGAAGGUGAAAUGAGCACUAAAUACAUCAUUCUGAAAUGAAUUGCUGACAGUGUGAUCAGUUUCCCCACACUCUCGUGGCAUGUGCUCUGAUCUCAGCCUCAUUUCAGCCUCAGCAGGGCACCUUUCUCUGUGGCUGCAUUUAUAAACCAGAAUAGGGAAAAGGCUAUUAUAAAUAUGGUAUAGCAUUACCUAUAUUAAUCAAAGUCUGUCCCCCUUCAUUUUUCUUCCUAAUUUGUGCCUUUUUGCACAAGGUCAGUAAAUCAUACGAUGAAUUCGUGGUCCAGAAAGUGUUAACUUUAAUGAAUAUCUCAGUUACAUGGUUAUGUAUGUGAUAAUAAAAUAUUACUCUGUUUA